CAGUAAGUUCCAGCCGCAGCUGUUCAGUCCGAGUUAUGGUCGCAAAUGUACAAUAAAUGGGUCUAUUUUAUUUACCCUUAAUCUGAUCACUAUGGAAAUGAAGCUCCUCUUAGUUGCAGUUAUAUUCUUCUCUGAUUUCUCCCUCUGUGUAAAAGUUAACCAGCCUCCAUCUGUAUUCAGUGAACAAGACAAAGCUGUAACUUUGCAGUGCGAACAAGAUGACGAGCUGUUUUACUACAUGUACUGGUACAGACAGAGCAGCAGUGGGAAAAUACAGCUGGUCACAUAUUCUAUUAAUAAAGGCUUGUGGAGCAUUGAGGCUCCUUUCAACAAAUCCAAGUACAACAUGUCCCGGCCUGCAGUGCUCAAAUCUUCACUACAGAUACACAGUGUUGAAGCUGGAGACUCAGCUGUGUAUUACUGUGCCUCUAGUAGAGCACGGUGGUUGACAAAGCCUCAGCAGCUACACAACAACCUCACCAAGAAGACACAACAUAGAGGAGGGAUGAGUGGGGAUGGUCAACGUGUUGGACUCCAGAGGGCACUGAGCAGGAUUUGGUUGAAGUGACAAUAGACAAACAUCAGUGUGACAUGAAAAUAUGCAAUAAAACAUUUUUAAAAAGCAGAAUGAAAAAUCUAUUAGUUCAUAAAAGAUACAAGACCCAAGUCUCCACACUUCAGCGAUGUUUCUGCAACACCACAAAGCUGAUCAGUGAUAAGUGAGCAGGUGUUAAUAUGGUAAACAUUAUUUGCCACAUUCUGUAUUAUUGUCCUGAACAGUGUCUCAUGUGUCACACUCUGAUGAAGUGUUGGCUACUUUAUUUUACUGUAACUGUGCAGCCUGACAAAACCAAGUACAUGCAGUUUCAGAGGUUAUCACACACUGACCUCUGCAGGGGCCACGUGGGAUUACAGGCUGGGUAAAACGGUAAAUGGAAGCCAAAAUGACAAUAAAGGAAUCAUUUACAUAUGACAUAUAUGUGACAUCUGCAGAACAAAAUUAUGUAGCUAAAUAUAAAAGGACUUAAAUGUUUCAGUUUCACAUGGUUUGUGCCACCAGUCCUUUGGUUAAAUAAUAAUUUUAAUUAAAUCUUGGCUGUGCACUGUAACA
This is a non-coding RNA of Monopterus albus (swamp eel), 1111 nucleotides long. The record is from the annotation of a RefSeq genome assembly. NCBI's taxonomy places the organism in Eukaryota, Metazoa, Chordata, Actinopteri, Synbranchiformes, Synbranchidae.